CAUUUUUAUACGACCGCAAAAUUUGAAAAAUUUUUCGUCGUAUAUUGCUAUGACGUUGGCGUCGUCGUCGUCGUCGUCGUCGUCGUCCGAAUACUUUUAGUUUUCGCACUCUAACUUUAGUAAAAGUGAAUGGAAAUCUAUGAAAUUUUAACACAAGGUUUAUGACCACAAAAGGAAGGUUGGUAUUGAUUUUGGGAGUUUUGGUCCCAACAUUUUAGGAAUUAGGGGCCAAAAAGGGCCCAAAUAAGCAUUUUCUUGGUUUUCGCACUAUAACUUUAGUUUAAGUUAAUAGAAAUCUAUGAAAUUUUGACACAAGGUUUAUGACCACAAAAGAACGGUUGGGUUUGAUUUUGGGAGUUUUGGUUUCAACAGUUUAGGAAUUAGGGGCCAAAAAAGGGCCCAAAUAAGCACUAUUCUUGGUUUUCGCACAAUAACUUUAGUUUAAGUAAAUAGAAAUCAAUGAAAUUUAAACACAAUGUUAAUGACUACAAAAGGAAGGUUGGUAUUGAUUUUGGGAGUUUAGGUCCCAAUAGUUUAGGAAUUAGGGGCCAAAAAGGGACCCAAAUAAGCAUUUUUCUUGGUUUUCGCACCAUAACGUUAGUAUAAGUAAAUAGAAAUCUAUGAUAUUUAAACACAAGGUUUAUGACCAUAAAAGGAAGGUUGGUAUUGAUUUUGGGAGUUUUGGUCCCAACAGAAUAAGGAGCCCAAAGGGUCCAAAAUUAAACUUUGUUUGAUUUCAUCAAAAUUGAAUAAUUGGGGUUGUUUGAUAUGCCGAAUCUAACUGUGUAUGUAGAUUCUUAACUUUUGGUCCCGUUUUUAAAUUGGUCUACAUUAAGGUCCAAAGGGUCCAAAAUUAAACUUAGUUUGAUUUUGACAAAACAUGAAUCAGUUAGGUUCUUUGAUAUGCUGAAUCUAAAAAUGUACUUAGAUUCUUGAUUAUUGGCCCAGUUUUCAAGUUGGUCCAAAUCGGGGUCCAAAAUUAAACUUUGUUUGAUUUCAUCAAAAAUUGAAUAAAUGGGGUUCUUUGAUAUACCAAAUCUAACUGUGUAUGUAGAUUCUUCAUUUUUAUACGACCGCAAAAUUUGAAAAAAUUUUCGUCGUAUAUUGCUAUCACGUUGGCGUCGUCGUCGUCGUCGUCGUCCGAAUACUUUUAGUUUUCGCACUCUAACUUUAGUAAAAGUGAAUAGAAAUCUAUGAAAUUUUAACAUAAGGUUUAUGACCACAAAAGGAAGGUUGGGAUUGAUUUUGGGAGUUUUGGUCCCAACAUUUUAGGAAUUAGGGGCCAAAAAGGGCCCAAAUAAGCAUUUUCUUGGUUUUCG
Molecule: long non-coding RNA, 1319 nt
Filed under: Mytilus galloprovincialis (Mediterranean mussel)
Lineage: Eukaryota; Metazoa; Mollusca; Bivalvia; Mytilida; Mytilidae
Source: RNAcentral